RNAcentral lists this ribosomal RNA (658 nucleotides) under uncultured fungus. RNAcentral describes it as "eukaryotic LSU rRNA". It matches the Rfam family "Eukaryotic large subunit ribosomal RNA", at positions 24 to 664 of the family's 3401-position model. Lineage: Eukaryota; Fungi. The record is from RNAcentral.
CCCGCUGAACUUAAGCAUAUCAAUAAGCGGAGGAAAAGAAACUAACAAGGAUUCCCCUAGUAACUGCGAGUGAAGCGGGAAGAGCUCAAAUUUAAAAUCUGGCCGCCUUUGGUUGCCCGAGUUGUAGUCUGGAGAAGCGUUUUCCGUGUUGGACCGUGUACAAGUCUCUUGGAACAGGGCGUCAUAGAGGGUGAGAAUCCCGUCUUUGACACGGACUACCAAUGCUUUGUGAUGCGCUCUCAAAGAGUCGAGUUGUUUGGGAAUGCAGCUCAAAAUGGGUGGUAAAUUCCAUCUAAAGCUAAAUAUAGGCGAGAGACCGAUAGCGAACAAGUACCGUGAGGGAAAGAUGAAAAGCACUUUGGAAAGAGAGUUAAACAGUACGUGAAAUUGCUGAAAGGGAAACGCUUGAAGUCAGUCACGUCUGCCGGGACUCAGCCUUGCUUCUGCUUGGUGCACUUCCUGGUUGGAUGGGCCAACAUCAAUUUUGACCGUUGGAGAAAGGCUUUGGGAAUGUGGCACCUUUGGGUGUGUUAUAGCCCUUCGUCGUAUACGGCGGUCGGGAUUGAGGACUGCAGCACGCCUUUAUGGCCGGGGUUCGCCCACGUACGUGCUUAGGAUGUUGGCGUAAUGGCUUUAAGCGACCCGUCUUGAAACACGG